UAACUGACGCUGAGGAGCGAAAGCGUGGGGAGCGAACAGGAUUAGAUACCCUGGUAGUCCACGCCGUAAACGGUGGGUGCUAGUUGUGGGCCACAUUCCACGUGGUCCGUGACGAAGUUAACACAUUAAGCACCCCGCCUGGGGAGUACGGUCGCAAGACUAAAACUCAAAGGAAUUGACGGGGGCCCGCACAAGCGGCGGAGCAUGCGGAUUAAUUCGAUGCAACGCGAAGAACCUUACCAAGGCUUGACAUAUAGAGGAAACGUGCAGAAAUGUACGCCCCGCAAGGUCUCUAUACAGGUGGUGCAUGGUUGUCGUCAGCUCGUGUCGUGAGAUGUUGGGUUAAGUCCCGCAACGAGCGCAACCCUCGUCCUAUGUUGCCAGCACGUAAUGGUGGGAACUCAUGGGAGACUGCCGGGGUCAACUCGGAGGAAGGUGGGGAUGACGUCAAAUCAUCAUGCCCCUUAUGUCUUGGGCUUCACGCAUGCUACAAUGGCCAGUACAAAGGGCUGCAAUACCGUAAGGUGGAGCGAAUCCCAAAAAGCUGGUCUCAGUUCGGAUUGAGGUCUGCAACUCGACCUCAUGAAGUCGGAGUCGCUAGUAAUCGCAGAUCAGCAACGCUGCGGUGAAUACGUUCCCGGGCCUUGUACACACCGCCCGUCAAGUCACGAAAGUCGGUAACACCCGAAGCCGGUGGCCUAACCGCAAGGAAG
Molecule: ribosomal RNA, 713 nt
Filed under: uncultured Actinomycetes bacterium
Lineage: Bacteria; Bacillati; Actinomycetota; Actinomycetes
Description: bacterial SSU rRNA
Rfam family: Bacterial small subunit ribosomal RNA
Source: RNAcentral